RNAcentral lists this ribosomal RNA (253 nucleotides) under uncultured bacterium. RNAcentral describes it as "partial 16S ribosomal RNA". It matches the Rfam family "Bacterial small subunit ribosomal RNA", at positions 524 to 776 of the family's 1533-position model. The record is from RNAcentral.
UACAGAGGUCCCGAGCGUUGUUCGGAUUCACUGGGCGUAAAGGGUGCGUAGGUGGCUUGAAAAGUUUGAUGUGAAAGCUCAGGGCUUAACCCUGAAAUGGCAUUGAAUACUGUCGGGCUGGAGGUUUGGAGGGGGGACUGGAAUUCUUGGUGUAGCAGUGAAAUGCGUAGAUAUCAAGAGGAACUCCAGUGGCGAAGGCGAGUCCCUGGACAACACCUGACACUGAGGCACGAAAGCUAGGGGAGCAAACAGG